AGGUCUACCACGCUUCAGGCGUAUCUUAGAUUCAUUUGUUAACUGUCCUACAGGGACAUCAAUCCGUGCUGGAGUAUUUGCAACCCGGAUAUGUGACUUUGUUACUUUCUUUGUAUCAAUGAAUGCAUCUAGUAAUUGAUUUGCAAUAUUUUGCAAAUGAAUGAUCCUUUGAACUUCUAGUUCACAUUGAUUUGUACAAUGAUCAAGAUAAGUCAUAGUAGAUGUCUUCCAACU
RNAcentral lists this long non-coding RNA (234 nucleotides) under Vitis vinifera (wine grape). RNAcentral's name for it is "long non-coding RNA (VVIN_LNC005120)". Lineage: Eukaryota; Viridiplantae; Streptophyta; Magnoliopsida; Vitales; Vitaceae. The record is from RNAcentral.